GUCUCUGUGGCGCAAUCGGUUAGCGCGUUCGGCUGUUAACUGAAAGAUUGGUGGUUCAAGACCACCCAGGGACG
Molecule: transfer RNA, 74 nt
Filed under: Danionella translucida
Lineage: Eukaryota; Metazoa; Chordata; Actinopteri; Cypriniformes; Danionidae
Also listed under: 1 other name
Rfam family: tRNA
About the family: Transfer RNA (tRNA) molecules are approximately 80 nucleotides in length. Their secondary structure includes four short double-helical elements and three loops (D, anti-codon, and T loops).
Source: Rfam by way of RNAcentral